AUACGGAGGGUGCAAGCGUUACUCGGAAUCACUGGGCGUAAAGCGCGCGCAGGCGGCUAUUUAAGUUGGAUGUGAAAGCCUACGGCUCAACCGUAGAACUGCAUCCAAAACUAUUUAGCUAGAGUGUGAGAGAGGAAGAUGGAAUUAGUUGUGUAGGGGUAAAAUCCGUAGAGAUAACUAGGAAUACCAAAAGCGAAGGCAAUCUUCUGGAACACUACUGACGCUGAGGCGCGAAAGCGUGGGGAGCAAACGGAAUUAGAAACCCUAGUAGUCC
RNAcentral lists this ribosomal RNA (274 nucleotides) under uncultured bacterium. RNAcentral describes it as "partial 16S ribosomal RNA". It matches the Rfam family "Bacterial small subunit ribosomal RNA", at positions 523 to 796 of the family's 1533-position model. The record is from RNAcentral.